RNAcentral lists this ribosomal RNA (416 nucleotides) under uncultured bacterium. RNAcentral describes it as "bacterial SSU rRNA". It matches the Rfam family "Bacterial small subunit ribosomal RNA", at positions 355 to 786 of the family's 1533-position model. The record is from RNAcentral.
UCGGGAAUAUUGCGCAAUGGAGGAAACUCUGACGCAGUGACGCCGCGUGCAGGAAGAAGGUUUUCGGAUUGUAAACUGCUUUAGACAGGGAAGAAAAAAUGACAGUACCUGUAGAAUAAGCUCCGGCUAACUACGUGCCAGCAGCCGCGGUAAUACGUAGGGAGCGAGCGUUAUCCGGAUUUAUUGGGUGUAAAGGGUGCGUAGACGGGAAAUUAAGUUAGUUGUGAAAUCCCUCGGCUCAACCGAGGAACUGCAACUAAAACUGAUAUUCUUGAGUACUGGAGAGGAAAGUGGAAUUCCUAGUGUAGCGGUGAAAUGCGUAGAUAUUAGGAGGAACACCAGUGGCGAAGGCGACUUUCUGGACAGAAACUGACGUUGAGGCACGAAAGUGUGGGGAGCAAACAGGAUUAGAUACC